UACGUAGGGGGCAAGCGUUGUCCGGAGUUACUGGGCGUAAAGCGCACGCAGGCGGUCUCUUAAGUUUGGAGUGACAGUUGGUGGCUUAACUGCCAAAGUGCUUCGAAAACUGAGAGACUUGAGGGCUUCAGAGGGACACGGAAUUCCGGGUGGAGUGGUGAAAUGCGUAGAGAUCCGGAGGAACACCGACGGCGUAGGCAGCGCCCUGGCUGUGAAUAAAGCUGACACUGAGGCACGAAAGCUGGGGGAGCAAACAGG
This 258-nucleotide ribosomal RNA is filed under the name uncultured bacterium. Its description in RNAcentral is "partial 16S ribosomal RNA". It matches the Rfam family "Bacterial small subunit ribosomal RNA", at positions 524 to 776 of the family's 1533-position model. The record is from RNAcentral.